GAGAGAGAUGCUUUAGAGUGUCAACUUGUUUUCAGAAAGGGUGUGGAAAUCUGGUUUGCAGUUCACUUUAAAAGUUACUUCUUUGUGACAACCUUGGGUCUCGAAUGCAAAGCAAGCUUCUUUCUUGCAACGUGUCAGUUUGCUAAACUCCAUAAGAUUUGUUUUUCCAGAUCUCAGCCCUUUGCCUCUCAUGCUAUUUGAUCCAAGAACAUCAGAAAAAUAUUAUAUCGAACUAGCAGUGGGACAUCUUGAAGCACAGCACAGUGUAACGUUGAGAACAAAGACAGGGUGUAAGGCGUGAUGAUCUUUCCUUUCUCCAUGCAUUAUCCAUGACUAUCUAGUGAUAGUCACUCAGGGUAGGGGAACCGAGAGGAACUCUGUAACUGCUGCCUGGAGCACCACACACAUUGGAUGCCCAGUCUGUGGUCCCUUACUGCACCACCACUUUGGAUGCUAUUCUAAAGCUGAGCAGUAUAGUAGGAUCCCCUGGAAGUCAGUGCUGGCAGAGAGCCAUGAGAGCAGGCUUACAGCACAGUCCCUCUCAGUCCGGAAUACUAAAGACGGAGCAUGCUGCUUAUCCUCUUAGCUUUCAGUGAAGCCUCAGAUAAACCAGAAUAGCUUAUGGCCCAUUAGGAUGCAGGUGGUAUAGGAUGCUAAGCACCUCAUCACUGUGGCUAAGUACCCAGGAGCAAAAUCAUGAUUUAUACAUUUUCCAGUCUUCUUUGUCUAGAAUUUUGAAGACUGGGGCUCUGCAGAGACUGGCUGGUGAAAAGCGCAGAAGCUGACACCAUGUUUGGAUACCCUCCAGUGUUCAGUUGCAUGUCCAGCCCAUCAUAUUCUCCAGUGCAGGCUCUUGCUGGAGCUGCUGGGAAUAUUCACUGUAAAGGACACAGAAACGAUCUCCUUCCUACACUCGAGAAGAAAUUAUUCCACAUCCCAUAGAACAGGUAAAAGUCAGAGUUAUAUUAUAUUGUGUCCUGCCCCUGGGUUGCUAGCCCACCAAUGGCCCAAAGCCAAAAGUGGUGUCUGUAAUGGUAAAACGUGCGAAUGUUCCUCCUGUAGAGGCAUCGCUUGUCAAGGAGAUAACAUCCUGCUUUAAGAAAGUGAGAGCAGCUUGCGGAAGAC
This 1125-nucleotide long non-coding RNA is filed under the name Fukomys damarensis (Damara mole-rat). Its description in RNAcentral is "lncRNA (ENSFDAG00000028262.1)". Lineage: Eukaryota; Metazoa; Chordata; Mammalia; Rodentia; Bathyergidae. The record is from RNAcentral.